GCCUGGGUGGCUCAGUCGGUUGAGCGUCUGACUUCGGCUCAGGUCAUGAUCUCGUGGUUUGUGAGUUCAAGCCCCACAUAAGGCU
This 85-nucleotide transfer RNA is filed under the name Felis catus (domestic cat). It matches the Rfam family "tRNA". Rfam says of the family: Transfer RNA (tRNA) molecules are approximately 80 nucleotides in length. Lineage: Eukaryota; Metazoa; Chordata; Mammalia; Carnivora; Felidae. The record is from Rfam by way of RNAcentral.